AGAGUUUGAUCAUGGCUCAGAUUGAACGCUGGCGGCAGGCCUAACACAUGCAAGUCGAGCGGAUGAAGGGAGCUUGCUCCUGGAUUCAGCGGCGGACGGGUGAGUAAUGCCUAGGAAUCUGCCUGGUAGUGGGGGAUAACGUCCGGAAACGGGCGCUAAUACCGCAUACGUCCUGAGGGAGAAAGUGGGGGAUCUUCGGACCUCACGCUAUCAGAUGAGCCUAGGUCGGAUUAGCUAGUUGGUGGGGUAAAGGCCUACCAAGGCGACGAUCCGUAACUGGUCUGAGAGGAUGAUCAGUCACACUGGAACUGAGACACGGUCCAGACUCCUACGGGAGGCAGCAGUGGGGAAUAUUGGACAAUGGGCGAAAGCCUGAUCCAGCCAUGCCGCGUGUGUGAAGAAGGUCUUCGGAUUGUAAAGCACUUUAAGUUGGGAGGAAGGGCAGUAAGUUAAUACCUUGCUGUUUUGACGUUACCAACAGAAUAAGCACCGGCUAACUUCGUGCCAGCAGCCGCGGUAAUACGAAGGGUGCAAGCGUUAAUCGGAAUUACUGGGCGUAAAGCGCGCGUAGGUGGUUCAGCAAGUUGGAUGUGAAAUCCCCGGGCUCAACCUGGGAACUGCAUCCAAAACUACUGAGCUAGAGUACGGUAGAGGGUGGUGGAAUUUCCUGUGUAGCGGUGAAAUGCGUAGAUAUAGGAAGGAACACCAGUGGCGAAGGCGACCACCUGGACUGAUACUGACACUGAGGUGCGAAAGCGUGGGGAGCAAACAGGAUUAGAUACCCUGGUAGUCCACGCCGUAAACGAUGUCGACUAGCCGUUGGGAUCCUUGAGAUCUUAGUGGCGCAGCUAACGCGAUAAGUCGACCGCCUGGGG
RNAcentral lists this ribosomal RNA (875 nucleotides) under Pseudomonas aeruginosa. Its description in RNAcentral is "bacterial SSU rRNA". It matches the Rfam family "Bacterial small subunit ribosomal RNA", at positions 8 to 878 of the family's 1533-position model. Lineage: Bacteria; Pseudomonadati; Pseudomonadota; Gammaproteobacteria; Pseudomonadales; Pseudomonadaceae. The record is from RNAcentral.